RNAcentral lists this ribosomal RNA (874 nucleotides) under uncultured archaeon. RNAcentral describes it as "bacterial SSU rRNA". It matches the Rfam family "Archaeal small subunit ribosomal RNA", at positions 28 to 906 of the family's 1478-position model. The record is from RNAcentral.
UGGCCGCGGGAUUCGAUUAAGCCAUGCAAGUCGAAUGUAGCAAUACAUGGCGUACUGCUCAGUAACACGUGGACAACCUGCCCUUAGGACGGGUAUAAGCCCGGGAAACUGGGUAUAAUCCCCGAUAGGUCUCGAAUGCUGGAAUGCAUCGAGUCCUAAAGCUCCGGCGCCUAAGGAUGGGUCUGCGGCCUAUCAGGUAGUAGUGGGUGUAGUGUACCUACUAGCCUACGACGGGUACGGGUUGUGAGAGCAAGAGCCCGGAGAUGGAUUCUGAGACACGAAUCCAGGCCCUACGGGGUGCAGCAGGCGCGAAAACUUUACAAUGCUGGCAACAGCGAUAAGGGAACCUCGAGUGCCAGGUUACAAAUCUGGCUGUCGUGAUGCCUAAAAAGCAUUAUAUAGCAAGGGCCGGGCAAGACCGGUGCCAGCCGCCGCGGUAACACCGGCGGCUCGAGUGGUAACCGUUAUUAUUGGGUCUAAAGGGUCUGUAGCCGGCCGGAUAAGUCUCUUGAGAAAUCUGGCAGCUUAACUGUCAGGCUUUCAGGAGAUACUGUCUGGCUUGAGGCCGGGAGAGGUGAGAGGUACUUCAGGGGUAGGGGUGAAAUCUUGUAAUCCUUGAAGGACCACCAGUGGCGAAGGCGUCUCACCAGAACGGACCUGACGGCAAGGGACGAAAGCUAGGGGCACGAACCGGAUUAGAUACCCGGGUAGUCCUAGCCGUAAACGAUACUCGCUAGGUGUCGGCCACGGUGCGACCGUUGUCGGUGCCGUAAGGAAGCCGUGAAGCGAGCCACCUGGGAAGUACGGCCGCAAGGCUGAAACUUAAAGGAAUUGGCGGGGGAGCAAAUCACUAUGCGGCCCCCUGCAGGUCAAC